Molecule: ribosomal RNA, 615 nt
Filed under: uncultured bacterium
Lineage: Bacteria
Description: bacterial SSU rRNA
Rfam family: Bacterial small subunit ribosomal RNA
Source: RNAcentral
CCUACGGGAGGCAGCAGUAAGGAAUAUUGGUCAAUGGACGAAAGUCUGAACCAGCCAUGCCGCGUGAAGGAUGAAGGCCCUCUGGGUUGUAAACUUCUUUUAUCUGGGACGAAAAAAGGGCUUUCUAGCUCACUUGACGGUACCAGAGGAAUAAGCACCGGCUAACUCCGUGCCAGCAGCCGCGGUAAUACGGAGGGUGCAAGCGUUAUCCGGAUUCACUGGGUUUAAAGGGUGCGUAGGUGGGUCUGUAAGUCAGUGGUGAAAUCUCCGAGCUUAACUCGGAAACUGCCAUUGAUACUAUAGGUCUUGAAUCAUCUGGAGGUAAGCGGAAUAUGUCAUGUAGCGGUGAAAUGCUUAGAUAUGACAUAGAACACCAAUUGCGAAGGCAGCUUACUACGGGUGCAUUGACACUGAGGCACGAAAGCGUGGGGAUCAAACAGGAUUAGAUACCCUGGUAGUCCACGCCCUAAACGAUGGAUACUCGACAUCAGCGAUACACUGUUGGUGUCUGAGCGAAAGCAUUAAGUAUCCCACCUGGGAAGUACGACCGCAAGGUUGAAACGUCAAAGUAUAGUAGGCGNGAGAGAGCGACGACGACGACGACGGAGGGAGGNG